This 253-nucleotide ribosomal RNA is filed under the name uncultured bacterium. Its description in RNAcentral is "partial 16S ribosomal RNA". It matches the Rfam family "Bacterial small subunit ribosomal RNA", at positions 524 to 776 of the family's 1533-position model. The record is from RNAcentral.
UACGGAGGAUGCAAGCGUUAUCCGGAAUGAUUGGGCGUAAAGCGUCCGCAGGUGGCAAUGUAAGUCUGCUGUUAAAGAGUCUAGCUCAACUAGAUAAAGGCAGUGGAAACUACAUAGCUAGAGUACGUUCGGGGCAGAGGGAAUUCCUGGUGUAGCGGUGAAAUGCGUAGAGAUCAGGAAGAACACCAGUGGCGAAGGCGCUCUGCUAGGCCGUAACUGACACUGAGGGACGAAAGCUAGGGGAGCGAAUGGG